AUUGAACGCUGGCGGCAGGCUUAACACAUGCAAGUCGAGCGGUAGCACAGGGGAGCUUGCUCCCUGGGGGACGAGCGGCGGACGGGUGAGUAAUGUCUGUGAAACUGCCUGAUGGAGGGGAAUAACUACUGGAAACGGUAGCUAAUACCGCAUAACGUCGCAAGACCAAAGAGGGGGAGCUUCGGGCCUCUGGCCAUCAGAUGUGCCCAGAUGGGAUUAGCUAGUAGGUGGGGUAAUGGCUCACCUAGGCGACGAUCCCUAGCUGGUGUGAGAGGCUGAACAGCCACACUGGAACUGAGCCACGGUCCAGACUCCUACGGGAGGCAGCAGUGGGGAAUAUUGCACAAUGGGCGCAAGCCUGAUGCAGCCAUGCCGCGUGUGUGAAGAAGGCCUUCGGGUUGUAAAGCACUUUCAGCGAGGAGGAAGGUGGUGAGCUUAAUACGUUCAUCAAUUGACGUUACUCGCAGAAGAAGCACCGGCUAACUCCGUG
This 490-nucleotide ribosomal RNA is filed under the name uncultured bacterium. Its description in RNAcentral is "partial 16S ribosomal RNA". It matches the Rfam family "Bacterial small subunit ribosomal RNA", at positions 30 to 507 of the family's 1533-position model. The record is from RNAcentral.